Unclassified non-coding RNA from Vulpes vulpes (red fox), 139 nucleotides. The record is from Ensembl. Lineage: Eukaryota; Metazoa; Chordata; Mammalia; Carnivora; Canidae.
ACUUCGUCUGCCUAUUUCAAGAUCAAAAGUCCUACAGGAUUAUGUCUUUGAACCUCAUAUAUCCUUGUGUUUUUCUGUUCAGUUUUUGAUCCACAGAGAUGUCAUAAAUAUCCCUAUCAUUGCAAAUUCAUAUUAAAAA